RNAcentral lists this long non-coding RNA (1141 nucleotides) under Panax ginseng (ginseng). RNAcentral describes it as "long non-coding RNA (PGIN_LNC011092)". Lineage: Eukaryota; Viridiplantae; Streptophyta; Magnoliopsida; Apiales; Araliaceae. The record is from RNAcentral.
CUUAAAACAUAAAAGAAACACUACAAUUAAAAAUAUUAAAAUCUAUUAAUAACUAAACAUAAAAACAAAAAACAAAAAACAAAAAACAAAACAAAAUAAAAAUUAGAAGCAAAUCAAAAUCAAAAUCGUGUGUUUCUUCUUCCUCUUAAAACCCUAGCCUCGCUUCCUCCACCUCUGAACAAUUUCAAGAUCUGGACUUUGCCUUUGAUCCGGGUGUAAGUGGUGAGGGGCAACGUUCUGGAGAUGACAUCGGAAUAGACAUUAGAGUCUGAGAGCAAUUGAUCGGCCAUCACCGUCAACGUGAGAUUCAGAGGAGUUUGCGGUUGAAUCGGCCGCCGAGGUCGGGUUCAGUUCGCUCCAAGUUGUUUGGGAAUAAGUUCCCUUGGUCGCAUUCAACUGGGCAUUCGAUGGUUCAGUCUGGUGACAAUAAUGUAGAUCGAUUUACGUUAUCAAAAGGGCCUUGAACUGGACCGGGAGCUGUGCUGCUUCAAGUUUGCAAUGCGAUGGGAGUGGGAGAAAAGGGUACCGUACCAGAAAUGGUGAGGGUUCGAGUAGGGGGAAAUCUUAUAAGCGGCUCGGAAGUUUAGAGCAUUUGGUGAAAUCAGACCGAUGGUUUUUUUCAUAAAUUUGUUCCAAAACAAAUUGGGUCUCUAAUCUCUAUUGUUAUGGUUUCAUUUUUUAUGGAAUUGUCUGUUGCUAUAGUUUUGUUGCUCUUGAUGGGUUAGUUUGAAUCUAGGGGUUUCUAUUUUGUGGUUUCUCCUUUUCCUUCUCAGGUGGAUCUAAUAAUUUUUCCAUGGAAUGGCAUGUUGAUUACAAAAUUUGUCCGACUUUGCAAAGAGGAUGAAGAAAAUACAGAUAAAUAAUUGGGAUGUUUUAUUGUAGUGUUCUAGACAAUUUGGGUUUGCUGAAGAUGAAGAAUGGUUUUGUUUGAUGAAGAUGAAGAAUGGUUUUGUUGAAGAAGAAAAAGAAACCCAGAUCAUCCAUUACGUGUAUUAAUUUUUUUUUAAAAAGCUACGUAGGAAAAUUGGUCAGAUCUUUUGAUGUCUCUUAGCUAAAUUAGACGGAAUGACUUAAUUCAAAAUGUUUUAAAAACACAGUGGACUAAUAAUAUUUUUUUAAAAUUCAGUGACUUAAUGCUUAC